GAUGAACGCUGGCGGCGUGCCUAAUACAUGCAAGUCGAGCGAACAGACGAGGAGCUUGCUCCUCUGACGUUAGCGGCGGACGGGUGACUAACACGUGGAUAACCUACCUAUAAGACUGGGAUAACUUCGGGAAACCGGAGCUAAUACCGGAUAAUAUAUUGAACCGCAUGGUUCAAUAGUGAAAGACGGUUUUGCUGUCACUUAUAGAUGGAUCCGCGCCGCAUUAGCUAGUUGGUAAGGUAACGGCUUACCAAGGCAACGAUGCGUAGCCGACCUGAGAGGGUGAUCGGCCACACUGGAACUGAGACACGGUCCAGACUCCUACGGGAGGCAGCAGUAGGGAAUCGUCCGCAAUGGGCGAAAGCCUGACGGAGCAACGCCGCGUGAGUGAUGAAGGUCUUCGGAUCGUAAAACUCUGUUAUUAGGGAAGAACAAAUGUGUAAGUAACUAUGCACGUCUUGACGGUACCUAAUCAGAAAGCCACGGCUAACUACGUG
Molecule: ribosomal RNA, 497 nt
Filed under: uncultured bacterium
Lineage: Bacteria
Description: partial 16S ribosomal RNA
Rfam family: Bacterial small subunit ribosomal RNA
Source: RNAcentral